Molecule: ribosomal RNA, 505 nt
Filed under: uncultured bacterium
Lineage: Bacteria
Description: bacterial SSU rRNA
Rfam family: Bacterial small subunit ribosomal RNA
Source: RNAcentral
CUGGCUCAGGAUGAACGCUAGCGGCAGGCUAACACAUGCAAGUCGAGGGGCAGCGCGGGGUAGCAAUACUCUGGCGGCGACCGGCGGAAGGGUGCGUAACGCGUGAGCAACAUGCCCGUGGCAGGGGGAUAAGCGAUGGAAACGUCGUCUAAGACCCCGUAACAACAGACCUCGCAUGGGGUUUGUUUGAAAGCUUCGGCGGCCACGGAUUGGCUCGCGUCCCAUUAGGCAGUUGGCGGGGUAACGGCCCACCAAACCGACGAUGGGUAGGGGUUCUGAGAGGAAGGUCCCCCACAAUGGAACUGAGACACGGUCCAUACUCCUACGGGAGGCAGCAGUGAGGAAUAUUGGUCAAUGGGCGGAAGCCUGAACCAGCCAUGCCGCGUGCCAGGAAUAAGGCCCUACGGGUCGUAAACUGCUUUUGUACGGGAGCAAUAAGGGUCACGAGUGGCCUGAUGAGAGUACCGUACGAAUAAGCAUCGGCUAACUCCGUGCCAGCCGCCGC